RNAcentral lists this ribosomal RNA (207 nucleotides) under uncultured bacterium. RNAcentral describes it as "partial 16S ribosomal RNA". It matches the Rfam family "Bacterial small subunit ribosomal RNA", at positions 568 to 774 of the family's 1533-position model. The record is from RNAcentral.
CUCGUAGGCGGCCAACUAAGUCAGACGUGAAAUCCCUCGGCUCAACCGGGGAAUUGCGUCUGAUACUGGAUGGCUUGAGUUUGGGAGAGGGAUGCGGAAUUCCAGGUGUAGCGGUGAAAUGCGUAGAUAUCUGGAGGAACACCGGUGGCGAAGGCGGCAUCCUGGACCAACACUGACGCUGAGGAGCGAAAGCCAGGGGAGCAAACG